AUGACGUGACUUUCUCAAGAUGAAUGACUGAAGCCACAUCACAAACUGCAGAGCAUCUGUAGCUGAAGAUGAUGGUCAACACAUAAAGAGCGGUAGGUGAAUAUGGAAGGAGACAGCCAUCACUUCUAUGGCAGUCAUCCAGAUAGGCCAAGGAGUCACAGGGCGGAUGGGGACUGCCUAGGCUCUCCCUGGCCAAACACCAGGGCAGGCACAAGAACCCAUGUCUGAAUCGCCAGAACCCACGUGAAAAAACAAAACAGCAGCAGCAAACAACAACAACAAAACAACCAACCAAACUAAAAACCCAGGUGAUGUGGCACUCCCAAUAUCGGUGAAGCAGGGGUAAGAGGAUCCAGGAAGCUUCGUGGCCAGUCAGUAUUACUGACUCAUCGAGCUCCAGGUUCAUCGUGAGACACGGUCUCAAAGAAUAAGGCUGAGUGUGAAGAUCCGCCUUGCCACUUAGCAGUGUGUGAACUUGCUAAGCACCCCUGCCACCCUCCCAGAUCAUAUGCACAGCGCUGAUAGGAAAAUGCACUUCAGAGGGUUGUGAAGAGAACCAGAAUGUUCUCCAGGCUCCACCCAAUGCCAAGGGUCUAGCCAACAGACUGAGUUCCAGCUUCGCAACAGCAUCCUGACCAAAACCAGUAUAUGCAUUCCUUACCAGAGCUGCCGCCAGCCAGCAAAGGUUCGGACCAGAAACCCAUACUGCCUCUAUCCUCUGCUUUCCACCAAAGAUGAGAGCAUGCAAUUAAGAAGCCAGGAGGAAAGAAAAACAGUAUUCGAGAAGUUUGCUCCAGCACCAAAGAUCCUGGGUCAGCAACCAGAGGACCGCAAGAAGGUGAUGCGUGCGCACUUUGGUAUGAUGUGCUGUUUCCCAAAAGAUGCUCAGACCUAGGCCCAGCCAGCCUGGCCUAACACGUGGGAAGGGAAGUGCCAGAGUUAUUCACAGAUGCCAGGCCCCCAUCUACCCCGGCUGGCAGCCCAUAUGGGCUCAUGAUGCCUGGCGCAGAACUGGGAUUGCCAGUCCGUGCAGAUGCGCUCUGGCGAUUUUCUGUUUUGUUGUUGGAUAGUUAAAAACCUACUUUAGAAUGCAUGGAGCUUUAUCCCACUAGACUGGAAGAAUAAGAAGUCCUAUCUUUCCAAAUACCAAGGAUAAGUAUAGUAACAAUAUCAACAGCAUCCACUGCCUAGUGAGGAGGUUUCUUCUACAUUGGGAAACACCCAGGGCUCCUCUGUUCAACUGAGGUCACACUGCCCCCCUGAGAUCCACACAGGUAUUGCACAUACUGCUAGUACUCAAGGGUAGUCACUAAGCCCAAAAUAGCCACUUAAAUCU
Long non-coding RNA from Mus musculus (house mouse), 1336 nucleotides. RefSeq annotates it as predicted gene, 34035. The transcript has 5 exons. The record is from RefSeq and is a predicted model, not a curated record. Lineage: Eukaryota; Metazoa; Chordata; Mammalia; Rodentia; Muridae.